Molecule: ribosomal RNA, 564 nt
Filed under: uncultured archaeon
Lineage: Archaea
Description: bacterial SSU rRNA
Rfam family: Archaeal small subunit ribosomal RNA
Source: RNAcentral
GGUGCACCAGGCGCGAAAACUUUACAAUGCUGGAAACAGCGAUAAGGGGACCUCGAGUGCCAGGUUACAAAUCUGGCUGUCGUGAUGCCUAAAAAGCAUUGCAUAGCAAGGGCCGGGCAAGACCGGUGCCAGCCGCCGCGGUAACACCGGCGGCUCGAGUGGUAACCGUUAUUAUUGGGUCUAAAGGGUCUGUAGCCGGCCGGAUAAGUCUCUUGGGAAAUCCAGCAGCUCAACUGUUGGGCUUUCAGGAGAUACUGUCUGGCUCGAGGCCGGGAGAGGUGAGAGGUACUUCAGGGGUAGGGGUGAAAUCUUGUAAUCCUUGAAGGACCACCAGUGGCGAAGGCGUCUCACCAGAACGGACCUGACGGCAAGGGACGAAAGCUAGGGGCACGAACCGGAUUAGAUACCCGGGUAGUCCUAGCCGUAAACGAUACUCGCUAGGUGUCGGCCACGGUGCGACCGUUGUCGGUGCCGUAGGGAAGCCGUGAAGCGAGCCACCUGGGAAGUACGGCCGCAAGGCUGAAACUUAAAGGAAUUGGCGGGGGAGCACAAGGGCGAAUCGCG